Molecule: long non-coding RNA, 1089 nt
Filed under: Homo sapiens (human)
Lineage: Eukaryota; Metazoa; Chordata; Mammalia; Primates; Hominidae
Description: non-protein coding lnc-MECP2-2:8
Source: RNAcentral
GAGGGUGUAGGUAUGUACCCUGGCCUCUGCCAGUCAGACUCACAUGCUAGGAGGAGCAGGGCCAGGCAGGAGAGCCGUGUCUCCUGGCAUUGGGGCUGCAGGAAAGACGAGCUCCUAGGCCACAGUGCCAGUGGCCAGUGCUGCUGCCUUGCAGGGUCGCACAGGCAGUGCUGGCUGUUUGGACUGGCUUGGCAGAAGGAUUUGAAGUAUUGUUCCUAGCCAACUGGACUCAAACCUGUUCCUCCAACCCUCUAGGGAUUCUCUUAUCACCCAGUAGCCUUUUCCCCCUAGUUUUAAAAAUUGCAGUAAAAUACACAAAAGAUAAAAUGUACUGCCUUAACCAUUUUUAAGUGUACAAUUCUGUGGUAUUGAGCACAUUUAUAUUGUGCAACCAUCACCACAUGCAUCUUCAAUAGCUUUUCAUCAGUCCUUGUCUGCAUAAAUCAGCUAGAGUUGGUUUCUAUUGAUUGCCACCAAUAAUCUUGACAGAUAUGUCUGAUCUUCCUUCUCUGCACUGACUCCUCUUUCUCUGUCUCCUCUGCUGAUUCUUUCUCCUCAUCACAACUCCAAAUAGCAGGGGGAGGGUUGUUUACACUUAUAUUCAGCACGCCCUCACGCACUCGCCUGGCUCUUCAGACCUCUCCCCUGAACUCCAGAUUCAUACAUCCAGCUGCCCUUUAGGCCUCUAGAAAGCUAAAUACCUCAGUAUCAAAAACAUGAGAAACGGAAGCCAGAGUCCUGGAUCUCUCGCCCUUUCGCUGUCCCGGUGCCCAUGCCCUUCAGGGAUGGCACCUAGACCAGCUCCCUGCAUCCCUGCCUAGACUCUGCAGUAGUCUCACGUGGCAGACCCGGAGGUCACUCUCCUCUCUGGAUGCCCUGCGGACACUCCGGUUAGCCUCAGCUGCAAGAGCCUCCUCACCCAAGGUCACGCCAUUUCCAGGACAGCACCCUGGUGACUGAGCGAGGGAAGAAAAGUCAGAAGACCAGGACCUCCAGGGCCUCAAGGACAAACCCCUCAAGUUUAAAAAGGUGAAGAAAGAUAAGAAAGAAGAGAAAGAGGGCAAGCAUGAGCCCGUGCAGCCAUCAGCC